GAUGAACGCUGGCGGCGUGCCUAAUACAUGCAAGUCGAGCGAACGGACGAGAAGCUUGCUUCUCUGAUGUUGGCGGCGGACGGGUGAGUAACACGUGGAUAACCUACCUAUAAGACUGGGAUAACUUCGGGAAACCGGAGCUAAUACCGGAUAAUAUUUUGAACCGCAUGGUUCAAAAGUGAAAGACGGUCUUGCUGUCACUUAUAGAUGGAUCCGCGCUGCAUUAGCUAGUUGGUAAGGUAACGGCUUACCAAGGCAACGAUGCAUAGCCGACCUGAGAGGGUGAUCGGCCACACUGGAACUGGGACACGGUCCAGACUCCUACGGGAGGCAGCAGUAGGGAAUCUUCCGCAAUGGGCGAAAGCCUGACGGAGCAACGCCGCGUGAGUGAUGAAGGUCUUCGGAUCGUAAAACUCUGUUAUUAGGGAAGAACAUAUGUGUAAGUAACUGUGCACAUCUUGACGGUACCUAAUCAGAAAGCCACGGCUAACUACGUG
Molecule: ribosomal RNA, 497 nt
Filed under: uncultured bacterium
Lineage: Bacteria
Description: partial 16S ribosomal RNA
Rfam family: Bacterial small subunit ribosomal RNA
Source: RNAcentral